GGCGGCAGGCCUAAUACAUGCAAGUCGAGCGCGCCCUUCGGGGUGAGCGGCGGACGGGUGAGUAACGCGUGGGAAUAUGCCCUUCUCUAAGGAAUAGCCUCUGGAAGCGGAGAGUAAUACCUUAUACGCCCUUUGGGGGAAAGAUUUAUCGGAGAAGGAUUAGCCCGCGUUAGAUUAGGUAGUUGGUGGGGUAAUGGCCUACCAAGCCUACGAUCUAUAGCUGGUUUGAGAGGAUGAUCAGCCACACUGGGACUGAGACACGGCCCAGACUCCUACGGGAGGCAGCAGUAGGGAAUCUUAGACAAUGGGGGCAACCCUGAUCUAGCCAUGCCGCGUGUGUGAUGAAGGCCCUAGGGUCGUAAAGCACUUUCGCCAGAGAUGAUAAUGACAGUAUCUGGUAAAGAAACCCCGGCUAACUCCGUGCCAGCAGCCGCGGUAAUACGGAGGGGGUUAGCGUUGUUCGGAAUUACUGGGCGUAAAGCGCACGUAGGCGGAUUAGUAAGUUAGAGGUGAAAUCCCAGGGCUCAACCCUGGAACUGCCUUUAAUACUGCUAGUCUUGAGUUCGAGAGAGGUAAGUGGAAUUCCGAGUGUAGAGGUGAAAUUCGUAGAUAUUCGGAGGAACACCAGUGGCGAAGGCGGCUUACUGGCUCGAUACUGACGCUGAGGUGCGAAAGUGUGGGGAGCAAACAGGAUUAGAUACCCUGGUAGUCCACACCGU
Molecule: ribosomal RNA, 719 nt
Filed under: uncultured Alphaproteobacteria bacterium
Lineage: Bacteria; Pseudomonadati; Pseudomonadota; Alphaproteobacteria
Description: bacterial SSU rRNA
Rfam family: Bacterial small subunit ribosomal RNA
Source: RNAcentral